This 612-nucleotide ribosomal RNA is filed under the name Hydraena sp. MNCN AI547. RNAcentral's name for it is "partial 16S ribosomal RNA". It matches the Rfam family "Bacterial large subunit ribosomal RNA", at positions 1825 to 2760 of the family's 2925-position model. The record is from RNAcentral. Lineage: Eukaryota; Metazoa; Arthropoda; Insecta; Coleoptera; Hydraenidae.
GUCCUUUUGAUAAUAAUUUAAGGUCUAACCUGCCCACUGAAAAUUUAAAUGGCCGCAGUAUUUUGACUGUGCAAAGGUAGCAUAAUCAUUAGUUUCUUAAUUAGAAGCUUGUAUGAAUGGUUGGACGAGAAAUUUUCUGUCUCAAUUUAUAAAUUAAAAUUUUAUUUUUAAGUUAAAAAGCUUAAAUAGUUUUAAAAGACGAGAAGACCCUAUAGAGUUUAAUAUUUUUAUUAAUUUUUUUUUUAGAAUUUCGGUUUUUAAUAAAUAUAUUUUGUUGGGGUGACAUAUAAAUUAAAAAAACUUUAUAUUUUUAAAUCCAUAAAUUUAUGAUUUUAUGAUCCAUUAUUGAUGAUUAAAAGAAAAAAUUACCUUAGGGAUAACAGCGUUAUUUUUUUUUAGAGUUCUAAUCGAAAAAAAAGUUUGCGACCUCGAUGUUGGAUUAAAAUUAAUUUAUGGUGUAGAAGCUAUAAAAUUAGGUCUGUUCGACCUUUAAAAUUUUACAUGAUCUGAGUUUAAACCGGUGUGAGCCAGGUUGGUUUCUAUCUUUAAAUAAUUUAAAAUAUUUUAGUACGAAAGGACCAAGUAUUUUUAAUAGUUAAUUUAAAUUGAAUA